CGAAGGGUCCAAGCGUUGUUCGGAAUCAUUGGGCGUAAAGCGCGCGCAGGCGGAUCAGCAAGUCAGGUGUGAAAUCUCGAGGCUCAACCUCGAAACUGCGCCUGAAACUGCUAGUCUAGAAUAUCGGAGGGGGCAGGGGAAUUUCACGUGUAGGGGUAAAAUCCGUAGAGAUGUGAAGGAACACCGGGGGCGAAGGCGCCUGCCUGGACGAUUAUUGACGCUGAGGCGCGAAAGCGUGGGGAGCAAACAGGAUU
RNAcentral lists this ribosomal RNA (254 nucleotides) under uncultured bacterium. Its description in RNAcentral is "partial 16S ribosomal RNA". It matches the Rfam family "Bacterial small subunit ribosomal RNA", at positions 526 to 779 of the family's 1533-position model. The record is from RNAcentral.